UAUCAACACAACAUGCGCGAUCACCGGCGAUGCAAAAUGAAAAGCCAAAAUGAUUGAGUUAUGUCAUCAGAUAUGAUCACUCCUACACCACUGAGGAAGCAAGGAGCUGCAUUAAACUAAAUCUAAAUAUUUGUGCCUUAUUGUAUUAGCCAUAUAAAAAAUUUAGGUGCCAAGUGGCGUAACGUGCCAACGAGUCAUUAACUAAGUGGACUAAUUAAAUGAAAUGAACAAGUCUUCUGUACUUUCUCCAUCACCGAAUAAGUUCCUAGUUUCUUCAACUGAUCGACGCAUAAAAGAUUUCACAGUUUUUGUUGGCAACUUUCCAAAGACAAGUACUCAGAAAGAUCUUCAUGACCUGUUCGCGGGCUGUGGUGCCAUCGAGCGUGUCGCAAUUUUGGAUCCCCCACUGCGACGGCAUG
Molecule: long non-coding RNA, 419 nt
Organism: Priapulus caudatus
Lineage: Eukaryota; Metazoa; Priapulida; Priapulimorpha; Priapulimorphida; Priapulidae
Exons: 3
Source: RefSeq, a predicted model, not a curated record